GGGCACACACAUCUUGUGCGUUUUGUGUUAUAAAAUAAUGCGCACACGCGCGCACGGACACACAUAACUAUAUAACUUAGUCGUGGAAGUAGUGGGAUCAUCGAAGCAGCUAUAUGGUAUAAGAGAAAGAGAGAGAGGAAAGAAAACAAACGGCGCGCAUCUUAACGGCGGCACAGCAGCAGAUAUUUCAUGCACCAGCGCCGAAGACGUAACGCGCGCAUAUAAUAUAACAGAGACUCGUCGGACACCGUCCAGUGGAUAGUGUCUCGCGCGUAUUUUUUUUUUUUUUUAAUCACACACGCGUUCGUCUGUUUAUAGUAAUUUGUUGUGGUAAUGCGAGCGUGAGUGAGUUAGUGAUUGUUUAUCGUUGAUAAUUUUUUCAUUCAUUGAUAAGCAGGGCGUGUAUUGUAUCAAGAUUAUAUUAAUUCAUCAACGAUUGAAAGUAGCGGCCACAGAAACAUUUUUCUCGCCGUCGUUCCGUAGACCAUGACGAAGGAAAAAGAAGAACAGCAAAAGCAGGAGAUGCAGAAGAAGCAGCAGCAGCAGUCACCAGAAGCACCAGCAACUGUAGCUCAGGCGUCCGAGCAGCAGCAGCAGCUGAGCGACGAUGAGCACGAUCCUCAUCAUCACCAUCAUCAUCAUCGUCACAAUUUAAAAUCGCAACCGAGCCCACUCGCGAUCGCCGCGAGCGUAUUGACGCAUUUGCUAUUGUUGCUGCCGGUUUUGUACAUCGUGGGAUUGGCUUUCGAAAGCUACAGCUUCUUUUCAUGGCAUCCGAUAUGCAUGUCCCUCGGCGCCGGCCUCGUUAUCAUGGAAGCCGUCUACUCCAUAUCCGGCGUGGCGUUAAUAUCGAAGAACUUCGGGCGUACGCUGCGAGUCCGACUGCACUGGAUGCUGCAUCUGCUCGGGAUAUCGCUCCUCGUGGCUGGCCUGGUGAUCGUCAUCCUGAGCAAGAACGACGAGGGUCGGGAUCACUUCGUCACGACGCACGGCCAGCUGGGCCUCUCGACCAUCGUGAUCACCUGCGCGGUGGCCUGCUUCGGUAUGCUGGCCAACAACGCCAAGUGGUUCUAUCCGCGGGUGCGGCCGGUUCUCCUCAAGGUCGUGCACUCGUACGCCGGCAUCGGACUCACGGUGCUGCUGCUGGCCACCGUGAUCAACGGCACUUACAACAGGUGGUGGACCAAUAUCGGCGCGGGCGAGACCGGGCGCGAUCUCGUGUUCGCCUCGCUGUUCUUCGCCGGACUGCUGGUGCUGUUCAAGCCGAUAAUCGGCGCAGCGGCGAGGACUCGAGUACUCAUGAAGCCGAGGCCUGCUGCCAAUAAGGUGGUGGCGCCGGUCAAAGAUACCGCCGAUAGUACUUGAUUCGUGUGCCGCGAUGUUAUUCGAUUUUUAUUUUUUUUUCAUUCAUUCCAAGGUAUAAUUCAUUUUUCGUUACACUAACACGAGAAAAGAAAAACGUUCGAAGCUGUGCUACAUACACGUAGAGAGAUUAAAAAAAAGAAGACGCGAACUGAAUAAAUAGAGCGUUUUUAUAUCGAAUUUAAGUCCUAACUCGUCGUCCUAUUAGUGGAGGCGAGAUGAUCAAAUAUCCAAAGAUGAUUAUCAAUUGAGCAGUAUAGAUACCAAUAAAAUAAUUAUAUAUAGUUGCUGGAAUAAUUGUAAUAACGACCGUUAAAAGACAAGUAUGUACCGUUUACGAUUUAAAACUUUAUUGAACCUGAUAUAAAUGCUCGGCAUUGAUGAUUGCCCUGAAAAUUACCAUUUAAGAUGUUUUUAAAUACAUUAUCAUUGAUUAGGUUGUUUAUGGUGAUUUUUUUGUUGUUGCGAUUAUAUUAUCAUUAUUAAGAAGACUGUUAAUGCCAUGAAAAUCAUAAUUUAACGUAAAUGCGAUAAUUUCACUUUUUGUCUUCAACACUAGGUGGCAAGUACCUUUCCCUGUAAAUCUGCAAGUAGUAAAGGCAAAAUAAUUGUAUAAGUCAAAGCAAGCUUUUGAAAAAUUAAAUGUUUCAUUAAUUCUUCAUCAAGAACCUUUUUUAAUGGUCUAAAACUAGCCAUUAAAUGUUGAGCAUUUCUACCAGGCACAAUGGCCAUUCUUUUGGA
This 2103-nucleotide unclassified non-coding RNA is filed under the name Trichogramma pretiosum. Its description in RNAcentral is "cytochrome b561 domain-containing protein 2-like, transcript variant X1". The record is from RNAcentral. Lineage: Eukaryota; Metazoa; Arthropoda; Insecta; Hymenoptera; Trichogrammatidae.